GCUUCUCACUGCCUCGCCUGCCUUGGGCCUGCCCGACCCAGGGGGUCACAUGCCUUGUUCCCCAUCAGUGGAGACCAGGGACAAGAAGACAGUUCUGUGGGAAGAGCCAGGAGGACCAUUUGGGAAAAUACAGGUUCCAGGUGUGUCUCCAGACCUUGAGAGUUGGUGUCUCCUGGGAAGAGGCCCUGAUGAGAUCUGGGGAGAUUCGGAUCUGAUGAGAUUCAGGAAGCCCUGGCCUCUCCGUACUUGAGGAGACGGGACACACAGGACAAGCUGCAGGCUGGUGAGCAGGUUCACCUUCUAUUUUGAAGACCCGCUUCUUCCUCAGGUACCUGAUCUUGAAAACGACCUCCCCUUUCAGGAAGGGGAGGAAGUGAAGAUCUUCAGACUAAGAUGGAUGAAGCUGAAUUCAGAUCUCAGCUCCAAGGUGAAUGAGCAAACAGCACAGAAAAAGAAACAGCAGUAUAUGUGGAAGAAAGCAAGAAAAAUCAACUGGCCUGGAACCUAAGACUUGUCCAAAGAUGUCACAGAGAGUAAAAUGAGAAAAAUCCAGUAGCCCGUGCCCAGAGCAGUUCCUCGUACCCAGCAGAAGGCUAACAAGCCCUGAGAUGAAUGAUGCUCUUCCCAAGGAAGGCAGAGGAGGCGACAGUCCAUUUGCGUUCUCUCCUCUGCAAGUACAGGAUCUCGUUUGAUUCUCAAAACCACCCUAGAGGAGACAGGAGGCACCUGAGGCCCAGAGACGUGAAGCCACCUGUCCAAGGCCAUACAGCAGAUAACUUAUUCUGGAGGAAGACACCUGCCAUGCCGUGAGGACAGUCAAGCAGUUCUGUGGAGAGAUCCAUGUGGUGAGAAACAGGGGCCUCCUGUCAACAGGAAGAACAACCUGGCAGGCCUGUCUUGGAUUCAGAGCCUCCAGCCCCAGUCGAGCCUUCAGAUAACUGCACCCUUGGCUGUCAUCUCAACUGCAAUCUCACGACAGACCCUGAGCUGGAACUACUCUGUUUACCAAUGCCUGGCCCACAGAAAGACUAUGAGAUAAAACAAGUAUAUUGUUUUUAGAAGAUAUGUUUUGGAGUAAUUUAUUAUGCUACAAUAGAUAAUACAGAAUUUGGUGAUUUUAUGAUUCUCAACUCCUGGCCAAAGCAAAGCACACAACAAGUCUCAAAGAAAAGUCUCACAAGUGGAAUUGAAAGUACAAAGCUGGCCAGACAAGCUUGUGCAGACAUGUAUGUGGUGGAGUUGAAAAUCACACACUACGACUCACACAAGUGAGUAAAACCUGCGUCUUUCUUAAUUUUUCUUGUACUCUUCUCAUCUAGAUCUAAUGAGAUACUUCCUGCUGUUGACAGGCAAUAAAUGAAUGAACGACAAAAACAAAACAAAAAGAAAAGAAACAAAACAGAAA
This 1405-nucleotide long non-coding RNA is filed under the name Homo sapiens (human). RNAcentral's name for it is "long intergenic non-protein coding RNA 1819". The record is from RNAcentral. Lineage: Eukaryota; Metazoa; Chordata; Mammalia; Primates; Hominidae.